AUAGUUCAGCACUAAGUCACUUUGUCUUUAUGGCAAAUGUGAGAUGCAGUGUAUGGAAUGUCAAAUUUCUAGUAUGAGAAAUUAACGAUUUAAGUCCUUCUUAAAUGAGGCCAUUUACCCAUAGAGGGUGCCAGGCCCGUAUAACGUUAAUGAUUACUAGAUGGCAUUUCCAAAGAGUCGUGUUGCUUGAUAGUGCAGCACUAAGUGGGUGGUAAACUCCAUCUAAAACUAAAUAUAACCAUGAGACCGAUAGUAAACAAGUACCGUGAGGGAAAGUUGAAAAGAACUCUGAAUAGAGAGUUAAAUAGUACGUGAAACUGCUUAGAGGUUAAGCCCGAUGAACUUGAAUAUCCAUUAUAGAAAAUUCAUCAUUAUGAUUUAUAAUAUAUAAAUAAUAUUAUAAUAAUAGUGUGCAUUUUUUCUAUAUAAAGGACAUUGUAAUCUAUUAACAUUAAUGCAAGGAUUUAUCAUAAGAUCAUUUGCAAAAGUUUAUUCAAAUUAUUUUGCUUGCAAUUUAACAUAGAAUAAAUGCUUAUGAUUUGAUAAAGUGUUGAUAGAUUUAUUAUAAUAUAGUGCUUAAAUUUAUUUAUAAAUUUUAUAAUAGCAUAUUAAUCAAUGAUUUUUAUGUUUAUUAUAUGCACUUAUAUGAUUAACAAUGCGAAAGAUUCAGGAUACCUUCGGGACCCGUCUUGAAACACGGACCAAGGAGUCUAACAUAUUUGCAAGUUAUUGGGAAUAAAAACCUAAUAGCGAAAUUAACAUAACUUAUAUAAUGGGAUUAGUUUUUAGACUAUUUAUAGUCUAUUAAUUCAAUCCCGGGGCGUUCUAUACAGUUAUGUAUAAUAAUAUUUAUAUUAUUUAUACCUCUAACUAGAGCGUACCUUGAGCAUAUAUGCUGUGACCCGAAAGAUGGUGAACUAUACUUGAUC
RNAcentral lists this ribosomal RNA (929 nucleotides) under Pollenia rudis. RNAcentral's name for it is "eukaryotic LSU rRNA". It matches the Rfam family "Eukaryotic large subunit ribosomal RNA", at positions 104 to 842 of the family's 3401-position model. Lineage: Eukaryota; Metazoa; Arthropoda; Insecta; Diptera; Polleniidae. The record is from RNAcentral.